Small nucleolar RNA from Mugil cephalus (flathead mullet), 142 nucleotides. RefSeq annotates it as small nucleolar RNA SNORA22. Lineage: Eukaryota; Metazoa; Chordata; Actinopteri; Mugiliformes; Mugilidae. The record is from RefSeq and is a predicted model, not a curated record. The transcript has a single exon.
AUGCACAGGGAACACCCAAGGGUGCCAACAUAUGGUAGCUCCCCCUGGUCAUUUAUGCCUGUGCCACAGUAACUCUGAUCUGUACCUCUGCAUUAGGAGAGUCUGUUCCUCCCCUACAUGUAUUCAGCGGAUCAGAAUAAUC